AUAUCGCUGGCGGAGGCUAACACAUCCAGUCUUUACGGCAGCGGGAAAGUAGCUUGCUACUUUUGCCGGCUGAGCGGCGGACUAGAGGUGAGUAAUGCCUGGGAAAUUGCCCAGUCGAGGGGGAUAACAGUUGGAAACGACUGCUAAUACCUGCAUACGCCCUACGGGGGAAAGCAGGGGACCUUCGGGCCUUGCGCGAUUGGAUAUGCCCAGGUGGGAUUAGCUAGUUGGUGAGUGUAAUGGCUCACCAAGGCGACGAUCCCUAGCUGGUCUGAGAGGAUGAUCAGCCACACUGGAACUGAGACACGGUCCAGACUCCUACGGGAGGCAGCAGUGGGGAAUAUUGCACAAUGGGGGAAACCCUGAUGCAUGCCAUGCCUGCGUGUGUGAAGAAGGCCUUANGGGUUGUAAAUGCACUUUCAGCGAGGAGGAAAGGUCAGGUAGCUAAUAUCUGCUGGCUGUGACAGUUACUCGCAGAAGAAGCACCNGGCUAACUCCGUGCCAUGCAGCCGCGGUCAAUACUGGAGAGGUGCAAGCAGUUAAUCCGUGAAAUUACUGGGCUGUU
Molecule: ribosomal RNA, 565 nt
Filed under: Aeromonas sp. IPB9
Lineage: Bacteria; Pseudomonadati; Pseudomonadota; Gammaproteobacteria; Aeromonadales; Aeromonadaceae
Description: bacterial SSU rRNA
Rfam family: Bacterial small subunit ribosomal RNA
Source: RNAcentral